This 412-nucleotide ribosomal RNA is filed under the name bacterium enrichment culture clone N3h12. RNAcentral describes it as "bacterial SSU rRNA". It matches the Rfam family "Bacterial small subunit ribosomal RNA", at positions 96 to 524 of the family's 1533-position model. The record is from RNAcentral.
UGGCGGACGGGUGAGUAACGCGUGAGUAACCUGCCUUACUGAGGGGGAUAACGUCUGGAAACGGACGCUAAUACCGCAUGAUAUUUCAGCAUCACAUGGUGCAGAAAUCAAAGGAGCAAUGCGCUGUAAGAUGGACUCGCGUCCGAUUAGCUAGAUGGUGAGAUAACAGCCCACCAUGGCGACGAUCGGUAGCCGGACUGAGAGGUUGAACGGCCACAUUGGGACUGAGACACGGCCCAGACACCUACGGGAGGCAGCAGUGGGGGAUAUUGCACAAUGGAGGAAACUCUGAUGCAGCAACGCCGCGUGAAGGAAGACGGUCUUCGGAUUGUAAACUUUUGUACUUGGGGACGAUAAUGACGGUACCCAAGCAGCAAGCUCCGGCUAACUACGUGCCAGCAGCCGCGGUAAU